CACGUAGGGUUCGAGCGUUGUCCGGAAUUAUUGGGCGUAAAGAGCUCGUAGGCGGUGUGUCGCGUCGGCCGUGAAAACCUGCAGCUUAACUGUGGGCUUGCGGUCGAUACGGGCAUCACUGGAGUUCGGCAGGGGAGACUGGAAUUCCUGGUGUAGCGGUGAAAUGCGCAGAUAUCAGGAGGAACACCGGUGGCGAAGGCGGGUCUCUGGGCCGAUACUGACGCUGAGGAGCGAAAGCGUGGGGAGCGAACAGG
This 254-nucleotide ribosomal RNA is filed under the name uncultured bacterium. RNAcentral describes it as "partial 16S ribosomal RNA". It matches the Rfam family "Bacterial small subunit ribosomal RNA", at positions 524 to 776 of the family's 1533-position model. The record is from RNAcentral.